GGCUUUUUGAUAAUAAUUUAAGGUCUAGCCUGCCCAAUGAUGAAGUAUUAAAUGGCCGCGGUAUCUUGACCGUGCAAAGGUAGCAUAAUCAUUAGUUUUUUAAUUGAAAGCUUGUAUGAAAGGUUUAAUGAAAAAAUAGCUGUCUCUAUUUUAAUUUUUUAGAAAUUUAUUUUUAAGUUAAAAAGCUUAAAUGAGUAUUAAAGACGAGAAGACCCUAUAGAGUUUUAUAAUUUUAUGAAAUUAUUAUAUUUUGGGAUUUUUUAAUAAUUUUUUGAGAUUAUUUGGUUGGGGUGAUUGAAAAAUUGAUAAAACUUUUUUAUUAGGAUUUCAUUGAUUUGUGAGUUUUUGAUCUUUAUUAAAGGUUAAUAAAUAAAAUUACCUUAGGGAUAACAGCGUAAUUUUUUUUAGAGUUCUUAUCAAAGAAAAAGAUUGCGACCUCGAUGUUGGAUUAAAAUUAAUUAUUGGUGUAGAAGCUAGUAGGUUAGGUCUGUUCGACCUUUAAAUUUUUACAUGAUCUGAGUUUAAACCGGUGUGAG
RNAcentral lists this ribosomal RNA (536 nucleotides) under Echinodera roudieri. RNAcentral describes it as "partial 16S ribosomal RNA". It matches the Rfam family "Bacterial large subunit ribosomal RNA", at positions 1819 to 2625 of the family's 2925-position model. Lineage: Eukaryota; Metazoa; Arthropoda; Insecta; Coleoptera; Curculionidae. The record is from RNAcentral.